CUACUGGAUUUCAGGCAAUGCUUAUUGCUUCAAACCAGGCCGUUCACUUCCAAUACCCACUCCUCACCAACCAGACUUCCAUUUAUCCCUCACACAUCAGGCGGUUUUCUUUCUGUUCUCUGCCUCACACCAGCCUUGUCCCUUUCUGUCGGCACCUGCCUGCUUCCUCUGGUCUUUUCUGGUAGCUUACUUAAUGCAUAGUGUUAUAGUGUUGCAUUGAAUGGAGCCAAGGAAGAGUGAGAGCAGCUUGUAUCUUGGUGGCCGUGUUGGAGGACAACUGGUACACAGGUGCAAGUGGUGACUGCAUUGGAGAGACAUAGGUCCUAAAGGUGCAGCAACAAAUCAGAUUAAGGGAGGCAGCUGAUAUUAAGUGUUAGCUGGUAUUGAGGUGUGAAAAGUGGG
Non-coding RNA from Pelobates cultripes (western spadefoot toad), 402 nucleotides. The record is from the annotation of a GenBank genome assembly. NCBI's taxonomy places the organism in Eukaryota, Metazoa, Chordata, Amphibia, Anura, Pelobatidae.